GACGAACCGUGCGAACGUUAUUCGGAAUCACUGGGCUUAAAGCGCGUGUAGGCGGCCCGGCGCGUCGGACGCUGAAAUCCCCCGGCUCAACCGGGGAAGUGGCUCCGAAACGGCCGGGCUGGAGGGGGGUAGGGGGCGCUGGAACUCACGGUGGAGCGGUGAAAUGCGUUGAGAUCGUGAGGAACGCCCGCGGCGAAAGCGAGCGCCUGGACCCUUUCUGACGCUGAGACGCGAAAGCCAGGGGAGCGAACGGG
RNAcentral lists this ribosomal RNA (254 nucleotides) under uncultured Singulisphaera sp. RNAcentral describes it as "partial 16S ribosomal RNA". It matches the Rfam family "Bacterial small subunit ribosomal RNA", at positions 524 to 776 of the family's 1533-position model. Lineage: Bacteria; Pseudomonadati; Planctomycetota; Planctomycetia; Isosphaerales; Isosphaeraceae. The record is from RNAcentral.